This 24-nucleotide non-coding RNA is filed under the name Arabidopsis thaliana (thale cress). Lineage: Eukaryota; Viridiplantae; Streptophyta; Magnoliopsida; Brassicales; Brassicaceae. The record is from RNAcentral.
GGAUAUUUCUGGAGGAUAGGCCAC